AUACGUAGGUGGCAAGCGUUGUCCGGAAUUAUUGGGCGUAAAGCGCGCGCAGGCGGUCCUUUAAGUCUGAUGUGAAAGCCCACGGCUCAACCGUGGAGGGUCAUUGGAAACUGGGGGGCUUGAGUGCAGAAGAGGAACGUGGAAUUCCAAGUGUAGCGGUGAAAUGCGUAGAGAUUUGGAGGAACACCAGUGGCGAAGGCGACUUUCUGGUCUGUAACUGACGCUGAGGCGCGAAAGCGUGGGGAGCAAACAGGAUUAGAUACCCUGGUAGUCCACGCCGUAAACGAUGAGUGCUAAGUGUUAGGGGGUUUCCGCCCCUUAGUGCUGCAGCUAACGCAUUAAGCACUCCGCCUGGGGAGUACGGUCGCAAGACUGAAACUCAAAUGAAUUGGCGGGG
This 397-nucleotide ribosomal RNA is filed under the name uncultured bacterium. RNAcentral describes it as "partial 16S ribosomal RNA". It matches the Rfam family "Bacterial small subunit ribosomal RNA", at positions 523 to 918 of the family's 1533-position model. The record is from RNAcentral.